CCUAGUAGCUCAGGGGAGAGAACACCCGCCUGCUAAUCGGGAGGCCGCGGGUUCGAAUCGCGCCUAGG
This is a transfer RNA of Mycobacterium sp. 1423905.2, 68 nucleotides long. It matches the Rfam family "tRNA". From Rfam's summary of the family: Transfer RNA (tRNA) molecules are approximately 80 nucleotides in length. Their secondary structure includes four short double-helical elements and three loops (D, anti-codon, and T loops). Further hydrogen bonds mediate the characteristic L-shaped molecular structure. tRNAs have two regions of fundamental functional importance: the anti-codon, which is responsible for specific mRNA codon recognition, and the 3' end, to which the tRNAs corresponding amino acid is attached (by aminoacyl-tRNA synthetases). tRNAs cope with the degeneracy of the genetic code in two manners: having more than one tRNA (with a specific anti-codon) for a particular amino acid; and 'wobble' base-pairing, i.e. permitting non-standard base-pairing at the 3rd anti-codon position. The record is from Rfam. NCBI's taxonomy places the organism in Bacteria, Bacillati, Actinomycetota, Actinomycetes, Mycobacteriales, Mycobacteriaceae.